Molecule: ribosomal RNA, 442 nt
Filed under: uncultured bacterium
Lineage: Bacteria
Description: partial 16S ribosomal RNA
Rfam family: Bacterial small subunit ribosomal RNA
Source: RNAcentral
CCUACGGGAGGCAGCAGUGGGGAAUAUUGCACAAUGGAGGAAACUCUGAUGCAGCGACGCCGCGUGGGCGAAGAAGUAUUUCGGUAUGUAAAGCCCUAUCAGCAGGGAAGAAGAAAUGACGGUACCUGAGUAAUAAUCACCGGCUAAAUACGUGCCAGCAGCCGCGGUAAUACGCAUGGUGCAAGCGUUAUCCGGAUUUACUGGGUGUAAAGGGAGCGCAGGCGGGACGGCAAGCCUGAUGGGAAAGCCCGCGGCCCAACCGCGGGAUUGCAUUGGAAACUAGAGGGCUGGAGUGCCGGAGUGGAAGGCGGAAUUCCUAGUGUAGCGGUGAAAUGCGUAGAUAUUAGGAAGAACACCGGUGGCGAAGGCGACUGACUGGACGGUGACUGACGCUGAGGCUCGAAAGCGUGGGGAGCAAACAGGAUUAGAUACCCCUGUAGUC